AAGUACCCAAAUACCCUUGUAGAUAUUUUUAUUAAAAAAAAAAAAAAAAAAAAAACUUUUGUUCCAAUGUGGAGGAAGGCAACUUCACCUCCCUAUCCCAUUUCCCCCAUUCUCCUCAAUUCUUCAAUUCACAAAGGAUGAGUGACCUAUUCUAAAUUGAUGACUCACCUAGCCUAAGAUACUUCAAUCAUGAAUUUAUUCUCUUCCUUCUCAUUCAUUGUAUCAUCAUUCUCUUCCUCAUUCACCUUAUGAUCAUCCUCAUUCUUCUUUUGUUCCUCUUCAAAAUCCAAAAUUCAUCACUUCCUUGGAGCAGCUGAGAACUCAAAUGUCGAAAGCUCAAAUGAGAAAACUUCGCGCAUCAAAGUUGUUCAUUUGCUGGAGUACUAUAACAUAUAAAAUAAUUAGCAUCAUCUGAUCACUUUAGCUACCUCAAACCAGCUACGAUAUUUCCAUGUUCAUCCAUGGCUGAUGUGUACUUUGGCUCCAAUUGCUUGUUCAAACUAGCCAAUAUCAUCUCAAUGUAAUGUUGAAGGUAUGGAGCUCAUUUCCUACAAUCUUCAUAUUGUCUCAUUGCGCUCUAUUAGUUGUAGACCAAGUGUAUGGUAAUGUCUCAAAGACACAUAUCUCUUUUGUAAAGUAUGUUAUUGUGAUAUUCUAUGUUAUUUCAAUGUAAUUUAGUUUCAAUCUCAGUUUGGGAUUAUGAUUGAUCAAAAUGGACAUCUCAAGGGUUAUUUCAAAGUUUGUUUUGUGCCAUUUAGAUUUAAAUUGAAUUUUUGGUGGAAUUUCAAAGUA
Prunus persica (peach) is the source of this 792-nucleotide long non-coding RNA. RefSeq lists it as uncharacterized. The record is from RefSeq and is a predicted model, not a curated record. Lineage: Eukaryota; Viridiplantae; Streptophyta; Magnoliopsida; Rosales; Rosaceae. The transcript has 2 exons.